This 456-nucleotide ribosomal RNA is filed under the name uncultured soil bacterium. RNAcentral describes it as "bacterial SSU rRNA". It matches the Rfam family "Bacterial small subunit ribosomal RNA", at positions 26 to 477 of the family's 1533-position model. The record is from RNAcentral.
AGAUUGAACGCUGGCGGCAGGCCUAACACAUGCAAGUCGAGCGGCAGCACGGGUACUUGUACCUGGUGGCGAGCGGCGGACGGGUGAGUAAUGCCUAGGAAUCUGCCUGGUAGUGGGGGAUAACGCUCGGAAACGGACGCUAAUACCGCAUACGUCCUACGGGAGAAAGCAGGGGACCUUCGGGCCUUGCGCUAUCAGAUGAGCCUAGGUCGGAUUAGCUAGUUGGUGAGGUAAUGGCUCACCAAGGCGACGAUCCGUAACUGGUCUGAGAGGAUGAUCAGUCACACUGGAACUGAGACACGGUCCAGACUCCGUACGGGAGGCAGCAGUGGGGAAUAUUGGACAAGUGGGCGAAACGGCCUGAUCCAGCCAUGCCGCGUGUGUGAAGAGUCUUCGAUUGGUAAAGCGUACUUUAAGUUGGGAAGGAAGGCGAGUAACCUAAUACGUAUCUUGUUU